UUCUGGCUCAGGAUGAAUGCUGGCGGCAUGCCUAAUACAUGCAAGUCGAGCGGUAACAGGACUAGCUUGCUAGUGCUGACGAGCGGCGGACGGCUGAGUAACGCAUGGGAACGCACCCCAAACUGAGGGAUAACUAGUCGAAAGAUUAGCUAAUACCGCAUGUGAUCUUCGGAUUAAAGCCUUCGGGCGGUUUGGGAGCGGCCUGUGUACGAUUAGAUAGUUGGUGAGGUAAUGGCUCACCAAGUCGACGAUCGUUAGAUGGUUUGAGAGGAUGAUCAUCCAGACUGGAACUGAGACACGGUCCAGACUCCUACGGGAGGCAGCAGUAGGGAAUCUUUCACAAUGGGCGAAAGCCUGAUGGAAGCAAUGCCGCGUGCAGGACGAAGGCCUUCGGGUUGUAAACUGCUUUUAUAAGCGAGGAAUAUGACGGUAACUUAUGAAUAAGGAUCGGCUAACUACGUGCCAGCAGCCGC
This 473-nucleotide ribosomal RNA is filed under the name uncultured bacterium. Its description in RNAcentral is "bacterial SSU rRNA". It matches the Rfam family "Bacterial small subunit ribosomal RNA", at positions 17 to 518 of the family's 1533-position model. The record is from RNAcentral.